This 492-nucleotide ribosomal RNA is filed under the name uncultured bacterium. RNAcentral's name for it is "partial 16S ribosomal RNA". It matches the Rfam family "Bacterial small subunit ribosomal RNA", at positions 29 to 507 of the family's 1533-position model. The record is from RNAcentral.
AGUGAACGCUGGCGGUAGGCCUAACACAUGCAAGUCGAACGGCAGCACAGUAAUAGCUUGCUCUUACGGGUGGCGAGUGGCGGACGGGUGAGGAAUACAUCGGAAUCUACUUUUUCGUGGGGGCUAACGUAGGGACACUUACGCUAAUACCGCAUACGACCUACGGGUGAAAGCAGGGGAUCUUCGGACCUUGCGCGAUUGAAUGAGCCGAUGUCGGAUUAGCUAGUUGGCGGGGUAAAGGCCCACCAAGGCGACGAUCCGUAGCUGGUCUGAGAGGAUGAUCAGCCACACUGGAACUGAGACACGGUCCAGACUCCUACGGGAGGCAGCAGUGGGGAAUAUUGGACAAUGGGCGCAAGCCUGAUCCAGCCAUACCGCGUGGGUGAAGAAGGCCUUCGGGUUGUAAAGCCCUUUUGUUGGGAAAGAAAAGCAGCAGGUUAAUACCCCGCUGUUCUGACGGUACCCAAAGAAUAAGCACCGGCUAACUUCGUG